AUAUACUUGCUGUGGCCUUGCCAGGUAAUUUGGGUUUAAUUUGAAGAGUUACAUCAAUUUCACUUUCUCUGUGGGUUCUUUGAAUCUUUGGUUUCUUUUAAUUAGUUAACGCUAACAUAUAGUUACUAUUCUAUGUUUCUGCAGUUAAUAUUGAGCAAUUGGGUUGCUGGUUUUAGUUUGUUUUAGGAUAUGUUUACGCUUGUUGUUUGUAAUAUUUAUGCAAUAUCUGCAUCAGUUACUACAUUUGCGAUAUUAUCUGUCAAUCCAGCUGAAUUGCAUUCAUUCCUUCUGUAAGAUUUAAAUCAUGUCAGCAUAUGCUGAAUGGUAGUAAGUAAUGGCAUUGCUUGUUCCCAGUUUGAUUCGGUUAAUGUUGUCAAAUAGAAGCUAUAAGUGACAGGUUCAUGGAAAGCAUAACUGAGUUUUUACUUUGCAAAUUGCAUUGCAGCCUGUGCUUCUAAGUUUCCA
Molecule: unclassified non-coding RNA, 465 nt
Filed under: Hevea brasiliensis (rubber tree)
Lineage: Eukaryota; Viridiplantae; Streptophyta; Magnoliopsida; Malpighiales; Euphorbiaceae
Source: RNAcentral